GACGAACGCUGGCGGCGUGCUUAACACAUGCAAGUCGAGCGGUAAGGCCCUUUCGGGGGUACACGAGCGGCGAACGGGUGAGUAACACGUGGGUGACCUGCCCUCAGCUCUGGGAUAAGCCUGGGGAAACCGGGUCUAAUACCGGGAUAUGACUCCAUGACGCAUGUUGUGGGGUGGAAAGCCUUGUGCGGGCUGAGGAUGGGCCCGCGGCCUAUCAGCUUGUUGGUGGGGUGAUGGCCUACCAAGGCGACGACGGUAGCCGGCCUGAGAGGGCGACCGGCACACUGGGGACUGAGACACGGGCCCAGACUCCUACGGGAGGCAGCAGGUGGGGAAUCUUGCGCAAUGGGCGAAAGCCUGACGCAGCGACGCCGCGUGAGGGAUGACGGCUGGUGUAACGU
Molecule: ribosomal RNA, 401 nt
Filed under: uncultured bacterium
Lineage: Bacteria
Description: bacterial SSU rRNA
Rfam family: Bacterial small subunit ribosomal RNA
Source: RNAcentral